This 455-nucleotide small RNA is filed under the name Arabidopsis thaliana (thale cress). Its description in RNAcentral is "ATSL029140". Lineage: Eukaryota; Viridiplantae; Streptophyta; Magnoliopsida; Brassicales; Brassicaceae. The record is from RNAcentral.
AAUAUUGUAUAUAUUUUUGUUGAUAUAUGUAUAACAUGUUUGAACAGCAUCUCAAGCAGAUCAAGUUUGUUAUAUUCCAUAUCCAUAUACAAAGAAACCAAAGAACAUUUGGCUCAGUGUUUUAAAGGUCAAUCCAAGGGGAAACAUUUCUGGACAAUAUGAAAAUACUGAUCCGACACUGUUGCAAACCGAGGAUGAUGAACCUGUUUUGCAGACUACAAUUGAAGAUCUUGUAAUAGACUAUCCGGUAGGAGACGUAACCCCAAUCAUCCUCGAUUACGAUAUUGGAGAUGCUGAACCAGAAGAUGAAUUCCGAUGUAAUUUAUCGUCCUCGGAUGAAGAUGAAAUAGAAGACGAAAAUGAAUAAUAAUUGUGUGAAAUAGAUGUAUAAUUAAUUAUUUGAAUAAAUUUUUGAAUAUACGAUGUAUUUGAAAAAGUAUUUGAAUAAUUAUUAA